AAACUAUGAUGAGGACACUCUAAGAGAAGAUCUUUAAAACGUUCCAUACAUCGAACAAAUGAUUCAUUUGGUUUCUGGCGAAACUGGAGAAUGUCGUUCCUAAGUUU
Molecule: small nucleolar RNA, 107 nt
Filed under: Cephalotus follicularis
Lineage: Eukaryota; Viridiplantae; Streptophyta; Magnoliopsida; Oxalidales; Cephalotaceae
Description: Plant small nucleolar RNA R71
Rfam family: Plant small nucleolar RNA R71
About the family: R71 is a member of the C/D box family of snoRNAs containing the C (UGAUGA) and D (CUGA) box motifs.
Source: Rfam by way of RNAcentral